UUUCCGGCCCGCUAGUAUCGCCGCUGUCUCUGCUGUUAUCCUGCUACCGCGCUCGCUUUCUCUUUUCGCGAGUGUUAUAUUCACUUUUAAAUUGCAAAGAUCAAAAGCGAGCAGACACGAAUGAGCCACUCUCAAGUCUGGGCAAGCAAACAAGUGCGAGUCUCGAUUUAGGACCGGUGAUUGACAGCCUCCGGCUCGCCACUAUUGCCACUAUGCUCCAUUUCAUCGAGCACGGUUUCAUCGAGCACGGCUACACGGGAAUCGGAAGAUCACUUCCUUGGUGCCUCGUCGUACACUGGAUGCACUCCAUAAAUGGCAGGAACUGGCCUACUGUGGAUUUGUGGGAAAGAAGGAAAGGCCAGGGAGCAGGCAUUAAUGGGACCAGUGGACCAUAAAAAUGCCCCUGGUAACUUCUACUAUGGAAUGUGCUGUCCUUUUUGACUACCAGUCAAGUCGUGUACAAGGCAAGUUUGAACAUUGUUAUAUGUGCCUAUUUGUUUCCAGAGCUGUGAAGCAACAUUUUUUGGUAAUUAGUCACAAAAUUACAGUUCAAAGGCUUAUAUUUUGUGCCUAUUUUUUAAGUAUGA
This is a long non-coding RNA of Ixodes scapularis (black-legged tick), 587 nucleotides long. RefSeq lists it as uncharacterized. Lineage: Eukaryota; Metazoa; Arthropoda; Arachnida; Ixodida; Ixodidae. The transcript has 3 exons. The record is from RefSeq and is a predicted model, not a curated record.